GUUUGGUGCCUAGAACUGCGUACGUCCUUGUUCUGAAUGCAGACCUCACGCGGGAGCCUCCGUUCACCUUUCCUUCCUUCUCCUCCACCCGCCCAGCUUGCCUUAGGCUUCCUUCUGGUGCAGUCUCUCAGCCACAAAGAUACAUCUGUUGUAGGCAUCCGUGGCUGAGUCCUCAUGUCCAUCCCGUUCUAGUCCGUCCUACACGCUGCACCAGAGGGAUAUUUCCAAAACGAAAACUUCAUCGUGGUCUUCACCUGCUCACAUCUCUUCUAUGGCUCCCCAUUACUCUGAUGAAAAAAGGCAAACUCUUUAGUCUGGUAUACAGGGCUUGCCAUUCUGCGGGCACUGUGUCUUUACACCGCAUGUCCCUAUGAACGCCCCCCACCAAGCUGUUUAGACAUACCCUCAGUGCCUUUUUACUUUCCCUUUCCUCUCUUCUCCACUUGGUAAACAUUUUUGUUUUAGGAAUCAGUUCAAAAGCUACCAACUUUGUCUUCUAAGUUCUCACGUUGGAGCAUCCAUGGCUUGGAAGAUGUGGCCGUCUGGAUUCUCACGUAUGGCAAGUUCAGGCUGGAGUUGAGUGGCCACUGCUGUUCGUAAGAUGGGGCAUCUGCUCUCCAGUUCACCGUAGUCCCUACACGCCCAAAUGACAGUGCUGCCCUAAGACACAGAUUCAACAAAUGUCUCCUGACCACUCGAGGCCUCUAAGGGAUCAGAGACGAAGAGGUCCCGAUAGUUCCCCUAAAGGACUGUCUCUCCCGCCCCUCUGCCUUUACCGCUCCUUCAGCCUGGAGUCUGCUCAUCUCAAAGUCUGUCUGCCUGAUGAAGACGCCCUCAUAACUCAGCUCAGGCGUGACGUCCUCUGUGAAGCUCUCUCGCAGUCCCCAUGAGCUGGUACUCACCCAGUUCCCUGUAAAGGCUGGAAUCCAUUCUGAUGAGGUGGGCAACCACUGUGCCUGGUCAGUCAGUACCAGUCGUAAAAUAUCUUGAAAAUCCUCUUGGACCUCUCCUGCCCCCUCGCCACGCUGUGGUCCCACCGCACCCUGCGUGUAUCUCCAUCUUUAUUAUCCUGUAUGUUCAUUGUUGGUUUUUCCUCGCCUGUCUCCCCUACCUGACUGUGAGCCCCUGGAAGGCAGGGGUGAGGAUCCAUCAUCUUUGUAGCUAGCCCAGGGCUAGACACUAGAAGGUAUCAUUAAUGGAGAGAGAGGGAGAAGGAGAGAGGAAGAUGGGUGGAAGAUGAAAAAUGUGGGGGAAAAGGGCGCUGGUAUAUUUUUGGCCCAUGUGCUGAUCACCAUGAGGAAGUGGCCACAGGCUAUAAAGCUGUCUUUAUAGACACCUCCCCCAGCCAUCUGCCCCAAAAACUCUGGCACAAGAAAUUUCUGCCUUUCGUAUAAAAAUUUUAGCUCAUAUGCAAAUUAUAUAUAAAUGUUGAGUAUUAUCUGGGUUUUGCAUUUGGAAAGGAAAAAAAAAAACUCUCUUGCUCUUG
RNAcentral lists this long non-coding RNA (1486 nucleotides) under Equus asinus (donkey). RNAcentral describes it as "lncRNA (ENSEASG00005032073.1)". The record is from RNAcentral. Lineage: Eukaryota; Metazoa; Chordata; Mammalia; Perissodactyla; Equidae.